Molecule: ribosomal RNA, 563 nt
Filed under: uncultured endophytic bacterium
Lineage: Bacteria
Description: partial 16S ribosomal RNA
Source: RNAcentral
AUUACCGCGGCUGCUGGGCCUGAGCCAGGAUCAAACUCUAUUACCGCGGCUGCUGGCACGGAGUUAGCCGGUGCUUCUUCUGCGGGUAACGUCAAUCGACAGGGUUAUUAACCCCAUCGCCUUCCUCCCCGCUGAAAGUACUUUACAACCCGAAGGCCUUCUUCAUACACGCGGCAUGGCUGCAUCAGGCUUGCGCCCAUUGUGCAAUAUUCCCCACUGCUGCCUCCCGUAGGAGUCUGGACCAUGUCUCAGUUCCAGUGUGGCUGGUCAUCCUCUCAGACCAGCUAGGGAUCGUCGCCUAGGUGGGCCAUUACCCCGCCUACUAGCUAAUCCCAUCUGGGUUCAUCCGAUAGUGAGAGGCCCGAAGGUCCCCCUCUUUGGUCUUGCGACGUUAUGCGGUAUUAGCUACCGUUUCCAGUAGUUAUCCCCCUCCAUCAGGCAGUUUCCCAGACAUUACUCACCCGUCCGCCACUCGUCACCCGAGAGCAAGCUCUCUGUGCUACCGUUCGACUUGCAUGUGUUAGGCCUGCCGCCAGCGUUCAAUCUGAGCCGGAUCAAACUCU